RNAcentral lists this ribosomal RNA (484 nucleotides) under uncultured bacterium. RNAcentral describes it as "partial 16S ribosomal RNA". It matches the Rfam family "Bacterial small subunit ribosomal RNA", at positions 29 to 507 of the family's 1533-position model. The record is from RNAcentral.
AUUGAACGCUGGCGGCAUGCUUUACACAUGCAAGUCGAACGGCAGCGCGGGCUUCGGCCUGGCGGCGAGUGGCGAACGGGUGAGUAAUACAUCGGAACGUGCCCAGUAGUGGGGGAUAGCUCGGCGAAAGCCGGAUUAAUACCGCAUACGACCUGAGGGUGAAAGCGGGGGAUCUUCGGACCUCGCGCUAUUGGAGCGUCCGAUGGCAGAUUAGCUAGUUGGUGGGGUAAAGGCCUACCAAGGCGACGAUCUGUAGCUGGUCUGAGAGGACGACCAGCCACACUGGGACUGAGAAACGGCCCAGACUCCUACGGGAGGCAGCAGUGGGGAAUUUUGGACAAUGGGCGAAAGCCUGAUCCAGCAAUGCCGCGUGUGUGAUGAAGGCCUUAGGGUUGUAAAGCACUUUUGGCGGGAACGAAAAGGACUGUGCCAAUACCACGGUUCGAUGACGGUACCCGCAGAAUAAGCACCGGCUAACUACGUG